Molecule: long non-coding RNA, 2661 nt
Filed under: Homo sapiens (human)
Lineage: Eukaryota; Metazoa; Chordata; Mammalia; Primates; Hominidae
Description: HSALNT0077859
Source: RNAcentral
AUGAAUGCCAGAUGCCUCUAGUGAGCCACCUUGAAUCACUAUUCUGAAUACAUCUUGAGUAAAAAGAGAAAAUUGCUCAUGUUUCCAUGUCUAUCUGAAUCAUGUUAUUGGACCAUGAGAGCAAGCAGCUGGAUCUCAUUCUGUCCAGGGUUUCAUCAUUUUUGGCCAUGCUGGCCUUGAACGCCUAACCUCAAAUGAUCCACCUGCCUUGGCCUCCUGAAGUUCUGGGAGUUAUAGGCAUGAGUCACCAUGCCUGGCACCACAUAAAAUUAUUUUGUCAUUAACAUUACAUUUUAAAAUACAAACGCUGUUUUCCAUAUUACUCAGGUCAGAUCUUUUACCCCACUUCUCUCAGUGAGAUUGCAUUAUUUAUUUCCAUCUCUAUAAUCUACUGUUCAUCCAUCUAUCUAUCCAUCCCUCAAUUUAGUUUUUUCACUACAUUCUGCAUUUGAUUCUUUUGAGGGUGUAUGCUUGUGUUUGUGCGUGGAAGUGGGGGUGUGUGUGUGUGUGUGUGUUCAAAAAGGUCUACAGUUUCCUUUUUCUGUAAUAUCUGUGUCUGCUGUUGGUAUUAGGGUAAUGCUGAACUCAUAGAGUAUGUGAAAAGUUUUCUACAUUCUUUGAUUUUUCUGAAAGAAAUUGUGCAGAAUUCAUAUUAUUUCUUUCUUAAAUGCUCAAGUGUUUAUUAAAAUUUACCAGUAAAAUAUUAUGACCCUAGGGUUUUCUUUUUUGGAAGGUGUUUAACUAAAAUUUCAAUGUAUUUGAUAAAUGUAGGACUAUUAAAAUUAUCUAUUUUUCCUUGAGUUGGUUUGGUAGUUUCUGUCUGUCAAGGAAUUGGUCUGUUUUAUCUAAGUUGCCAAAUGUAUUGGCAUAAUUACCUUAUUGAUAUUUGUCAGCUUCUUUCACUCCUUAUAUUGACAUUUUAUUCUCUACUCUUUUCUUUAUCAGCAUGACAAAAGGUUUACCAAAUACAUUGAUAUUUUCAGAUAAUUGCCUUUUUUCAUUUCAUUUAUUGUUGCUAUUUCUACUUUUAUUUCUACUCUUAUACUUAGUAUUUCCUCAUUCAAUUUGUUUUGUAUUUAAUUUGCCACUUCUUAUGGAGGACAUUUAGAUUGCUAGAUUUUAGUUAGGUCAUGCUUUUGUUCUCAGCAGGCCUUAUGAUAGAAAUUUUUCUCUUUUCUGCUUUAGUCACAUCCAUACAUUUUUAUAUAUUGUAUUUUCACUUACAUUCAUUUGAACAUAUUUUAAAUAUAUCUGAGACUUAUUUUUUAACACGUGAGUUAUGUAAAUGUAUAUUAUUUUUCAUAUCUGGAGAUUUUUCAGGUAUCUUUUUUAUUCUAGUAUAACUGUUUUCUGGCUUACAAGCAUACUUUGCAUGAUUUUUAAUCUUUGAAAUUUGUUAAGAGUUAUUUUAUGGUAUAAAAUAUGAUCUACCAUGAUUAGUCUUUCUUGUGGAUUUGCAAAUAAUAUGUAUCUGCUAUUGAGUGGCCUUUUCUAUAAAUAUCAAUUUGACCAAGUUGUAUGAUAGAGCUGAUGGUUCAGAUCAUCUAUAACCAUCUAUAAUACCACUGACAUGCUACCUACUUACUCUACCAGUUACUGAGAGAAGAGUGUUGAAGUCUCCAACUAUAGUUUUAGAUAUCUCUAUUUCUUUUACUUUUUUUUUCCAAUGUGCCAAUAUUUUUUCUUGUGUAUUUUGAAAUUCAUAUUAGGUGGAUACACACUUGAGAUUAUUACACUUUCUGUAGCAUUGGCGCUUUGUCAUUAUUUAAUUUCCCACUUAGCUAUGUUCCGCAUGGUUAGUGUCUGCAUGUUAUACAAUCCAUCACUUUACUUUUAAUCUAUCUAUGUCAGUAUCUAAAAUGGGAUGCUUGCAGUCACCAUUAUGUUGGGUCUUGCUUUGUUUCUUUAAUCAAAUCUGAUAAUCUAUGUUUACUUUCAACUAGUAAGUUUAGACCAUUUCCAUUUAAAGUGAUUAUCCACCUGUUUAUAUUAAAAUCUACCAUCUUCCCUGCUGUCUUACACUUGUUUUAUGUUUUCUCUUUCUCUUCUUUUUCUGAAUUGAAUUAUGUCUUUUUAUGAUUCCUUUUCUCUUUUUUAAAAAUUUUUUUUAUUUUUUUUUUGAGAUGGAGUCUCACUCUGUCACCCAGGCUGGAGUGCAGUGGCAUGAUCUUGGCUCACUGCAACCUCUGCCUCCCGGGAAGCCAUUCUCCAGCCUCAGCCUUCCAAGUACCUGGAAUUACAGGUGUCCACCACCAUGCCUGGCUAACUUUUUUAUUUUUAGUAGAGACGGAGUUUCACCAUGUUGGCCAGGCUGGUCUCAAACUCCUGACCUCAGGUAAUACAUCCGCCUCAGCCUCCCAAAGUGCUGGGAUUACGGGCAUGAUCCACUGCCCCCUGGCCUCUAUUUUUUUUUAUAGUAGUUUUCAUAGACUCUAAAAAGUACGUUUUUAAUAUAAUACAACUCUACCUUUAAUUAUUAUCCCACUGCUGAAGCAGAUAGCAUAUGCCCUAUUACUCCAUCCCAUUCCUUGCUCUAUUUUUUCAUCCAUUUCAUUUUCAUAUGGGAUAUAAACUUAAAUUUUAGAGCACUUACAAUGAUAAUAAAAUCUUUUUAUAAAUUAUUCUAUUUCUGAUGUUCUUAAUUUGUUUGUGGGUAGAACC